GACUCGAGAGGAUGUGAGCUUUCUUUACACUACUCCUGAUGUUGGUGGGUGGCAUAUUGGAGUUCAUGGGCAGCGUGUGAACCAGCAUGGAUAACUUCACUCACCUCACCACUCUACUAAUUCUGCAACCUAUGGAUUCACUUACAAGGUCCUUUUGAAGACCCUGACCUGGAUUUACACGCUGACUGGCUUUUGUUGGAAUGGGACCCGCUCUCGGGAUCUCACGACUGGCCGCUAUUCAAUAUGCCAAGGACGUGGCCUAGAAGACUAGUGCGCCUUCAGCAUUCCAGGAUCUUGUGGCUGUGGAGAGAAACAACACAGUAACAGAUCCUUCUGGCUCAAUGAGCCCACUCCAUCCAAUUACACCGAUUUGAGCAAUUAACCUAUUAACUGGUACGUCUUUGGAAUGUAGGAGGAAACUGGAGCACCCAGAGGAAUCCCAGGUGGUCAUGGUCAUAGACACUCCUUACAGACAGCAACUAUACCCACUCAUGAGGAAGGCUCCAGGAGUAAACCCUGAGGAAAAAUCUGGAGUUGGAGUACCGAAGGCAAUCCUACGUUAAGUUCAACGCUGACUGACAACUCUUGCGAUGCUGCUGGUGCCAAACUUUAUCCGCCUCUGCUGCUUCUUUGUACUUAUCAACUGUGUGGAGGGGAGGGGGGAGCCUGCUGCAUGGGCAUCAGCUUGCUCUCGAUAACAUACUGCUCUGGCUUGGAUGCUGGUUUGUGUAUCAACUGAUAGUGAUAACGCAGACAGCCAGGAGGCAACAUCAUGUGACCAACAGGGGGCUCACACUUAUUUCAAUGACGUCUAUCAGAGAAUGAAAUCUGAUAUCCUGGUCUAUCUGUAGUUGCCUCUUAACUGUCUCCUAAGUCAUUGGCAACGAUUGAUCACAGUAAGUAUUGAUGCAAGGAACUACGCAAGCGACUACAAAUGCUGGAAUCUGGAGCAAAAUACAUUCUGCUGGAGGAACUCAGCAAAUUGAGUGGGGGAAAGGAACUGUGAACUGAUUGGGGUGCGACUCUACAUCUAAACUCAUAAUGCAGGGUCCAACUCAACAUGUUAACAGUUCAUUUCCUCCACAAAUUCUCCUGAGCUCUUCCAUCAGUUUUCUAUUACAAUUAAUGGUGACAUUGCAUCAAUGUGAAGAAAUAGAUUUAACUACCAAGUAUAACACACUGGAGGGGAAUAAUUUGAUAAAGUGAGAUUAGGAAGCGUUAAUUUUUACCUGUGGUGUUUAGAAAAAUCACAUCGUCACUUAUAAGAUUAUGAGAGGGGUUGAGAUUUUGUAAGACUCUAAUGAUAUAAUACCAACCCUAUAGUUGACAGAAGGAAAGUAAAUGGAUGCAGGAAAAUAUGGAUAGGCUGCUCAGUUGGCCAGGAAAAUUGAAAAUAAAAUAUGUAUCGAAGAAGCAUGAAGUUUCAAAGAGUACAAAAAAAGAGUAUAAAACAAAUGGAAUGAUAUUAGGUGGUGCUAAUUGCCAUUGGGACCUUGGACUGCAUGUUUAAAGAAUGUUCAUUGCAGUAGGACAGGUAAAUAGGAUAGUUAAAUAACUUUUAACUAUCAUCUUGCUAAGGAGCUAAUGGCGCCUAAAACAGCGACUCUUUUGCUUGCAUCUUCGGAAACAGCUUAUUUCUAUCUUUAAUAUUUCUAUUUUUUUCCCUUCAGGGUUCUUUUGAAGGCCCUGACCUGGAGUUACAUGCUGACUUUGGUUCUUUGCUGGAAUGGGACCCGCUCUCGGGGUCUCACAAAUGCCUAUUAUUCGAGAUAACAAGGAUGCAGCUCAGAAGGUUAGCUUGCCUUCAGGAUUCUGAGAUUCCAUAGCUCUGGAGACAGGCAGACUCGUGGUCAUUGCCUCUGCAGGGAAUCAGUGUGUCAUGUGAGAUGGAAGAUCGAGAGCAGCAAGCUGGAUGCUGGCUGUGUGUCCAGAGACCCGAGUUAUUUGGGCACAGAGCUUGGAAACGGACUUUUAACAUCAUAAAUCAGCAAGUUGUUUGUUAUGUCUCCCCUCUUGCUGUGAAAUGGAAACUGCUCUUUUUCCCUUAUUAGGGAGAAUGAGAGCCUGUGGUAUGUUGAAUUACCAGGUGAACAAGUAUUCUUUGGGGUUCUGCAAGUCUGCGUCUUUAUUGAUGUUUUGCUGCACACGAGUGCAGAUGCUUUUUGCUGGUGAGGAAGAGGGGAUCAUUGCUUGCUGCUGCUUAUACAUGGGACAGAGGAGCUGGGAGGGGGGCUUUGGGGUUUUAACAUUUAACUGUCAUUCAUUCUUUGGGGCACUCGUCUGCUUUCAUGGAUGGUUGUGAAGAGAAAGCAUUUAGGAUUUAUAUUGCAUACAUUUCUCUAACCUUUAAAUGUACCUUUGGAAUCUUUGAACUGAAGAUGUAUCAUGGAUAUUAGACUGAAUGUUGUGCUGACCUUUUAAUCUACCUUACAUCAAUCAAACCCUGCCAUCCUACAUCACCCUUCAUUUUCUUCAUGCAUGUGUCUAUUUAAAAGUUUCUUAAAUUUUCCCAAUGUAUCUGCCCUUACCACCACCUUGAAAUCCCCUUGGACUUUAUCAUUUUUCUGAACCUGCACCUCAGUUAGAGGUGAACCGACCCAAGAGCCGCUGGCAGUUGGACGUUCCUUAUGGAUCCACUAACUGUCUAUCAAUUCACAGUGCACUGUUUCUUAUAUGUGAAGCGAUCUAGUCAUAGCCUUGAUGCAUGCUUGAAAGCAACACCUCCUCUGAUUUGCAGGCUUAAGUACGUAAGUAGAUGUUACCAAAGUGUUGCAGUUAGCACAACAGUUUGGGGCGUCAGAGUUCAGAGCCCAAUUCUGAUGAAAUUGGUAAGGAGUUCCCCUUGGAAUGCGUGGAUUCCAUCAGGUGUUCCCGCUUCCUCCCACAGCCCGAAGUCACGUCAGUUAGUCGGUCAGUUGGUCAUUGUAAAUUGUCCCCUGCUUCGGCUAGGAAUAAAUUGGGGGUUGCUGGCAGCAUGGUUCAAAGGGCCAGAAGGAUCUGUUCUACACUGCAUCGCUGGAUAAAUAACUAAAUAAUCCCUCUCCACACCAUAAGUGAAUGUCAAAUUGUGCAAAUCAGCUCCAAGAACAUUUGUUAUAAAAUCAUCUGCUUAAAAGAAUAUUGUUAUCCCAUUAACUUUUCUUCAUUGAUCACUUGUUGCGUUGCUAAUUUCUCUUCUGAUAAAAAUGUUCCAGGGAAACAAUCAGCAGCCAUUAACAUUUAAAGUCAUAUAAUUGUUACAAUAUGUAAUUACAAAUUAUUUUCAUCAACUCACUCUGCCUCCAGCUAAACAUUCAUGAGAUUCAUUGCUAAAACUGUAAUGAGGAAUAUGUAUCAGAAUUACAAUUGGUACAAUUAUUACCUUCAAACACUUUAGUUUACAUCCUGUGGCGACAUGCUUUAAGAAGUCCAUCUUUUUAUGUCUAAAACUGACUUUUAAAUAUUUAUUUUGCAGGUUUUAUAUAUUGUGCAUCCAUUCCUGGGGCAUCAGUUCUUACAACAAUUUUAUAUUAUGCUCUAUUUGUUCAGACAAAUGAAUCCCACUUGCAUAAAUACAAGCACAAGACUGCAGAUAAGACAUAAGACCGAGGAGCAGAAUUAGGCCAUUUGGCCCAUCCAGUCUGCUGCACCAUUCCAUCACGGCUCAUUUAUUUGUUUGUUUGUUAUAUUUUUUUACGAGCUGUGUUAUAUGAUAUGGGUAAUUGUGGUCUUUCCUUGACGACGAUUUUUCUUGGUAAAUUUUUCUACACAAGUCGUUUGCCAUCUCCUUCUCCUGCAUGGCAUCUUUACAAGACAAGUCACCCCAGUCAUUAUCAGUACACUUCAGAGAUAGCCUGCUUGCUGUCAAUGGUUGCAUAACCAGGACUUGUGAUAUGCUCAUACGACCAUUCACCACCUGCUCCCAUGGCUUCACGUGACCCUGAUCGAGGGCAAGGAAUGGUGGUGGUGGGGGGGGGGGGGGACUACAGGCUAGCAGACAGAAGGAAUGUCCUACAACUCCUUUGGUAGAGAUGUAUCUUCACCCCACCACCCAGUGCUGAUUUAUUAUCUCUCUCAAAACUAUUUUCUUGCCUUCUCGCCAUAAUCUUUGUAGCCUGUACUAAUCAAGAAGCUAUCAAACUCUGUUGUAAAUAUGCUUAAUGAUGUGGCCUCCACAGCCAUCAAUGGCAAUGAAUUCUACAGAUUCACCAACCUCUGGCAGAAGAAGUUGCUCCUCAUUUCUGUUUUAAAGGGACAUCCCUCUAUUCUGAGGCUGUGCCCCCUCUGGUUCAAGACUCCACGAUUAUGGGAAACAUUCUCUCCACAUCCAUUCUAUCUAGGCUUUUCAAUAUUCAAAUAGGUUUUAGUGAGUUCCCUACUCAUUCUUCUGAGCAUAGGCCCAGAACCAUCAAAUGCUCCUCAUGCAAUAACUCAUAAAUUAUACACAAUGUUUUUCAAGAAAGAACACGAUUAAAAUUUGAGCAUCAAGUAUUCAAAGUUAUCAUCGUGAUGUUCAGCUAUAGUUGCUGUCCUUGAACCUGAUGUUGUGGGACUUCAGGCUUUGGUAACUCCUGUGGUAGCUGUGAAAGACGGCAUGACUCAGAUGGUGAGACUUUUUGAAGAAAGAUGAACUUAAUGAUGGAAGGCAGCAAGAACUAUGAUAAUGGAUGAAAUUGAAUUAUCUGAAACCCUCUCCCCUUUCCCCACAAUGUGAUCUGGUUUAUAAAGUUCCAAAUUAAGUGCAUGUUCUUGAAAACUGUAUCUGUUGUCAGUCUGAAUUCAAACCUUAUCUUGCUCAAUAAUAAUCAACAUGCCUGGCAGAAUCAAUGGUGUAAGAAACAGAACUAAUGAUUUUGGUUGAUGAUCCAUCAUUAGAAUUCAGAAAAGUUAGAAAUCAACUAUAUUUUAAGCUGCAGAGAUGGAAAGGGAUUGGAGAGAAAACAAAGUUUGGCUUUGGAGUUAAACCUGCAGAAGACCAAAUGCUAUAUAGAUAACUAACUGUACUGGCUGAGAGAGGGUGGGGAAGAUGUGUCAAUCAAAGCUGAACUGACUAGAGGAGAUAUAAAUUGAAAGAGGUAAGUGACAACAAAGGAAGUCAGAGAUUAGUUACAAAACAUUAGAAAUAUGAAAUAAAAGAAACAACAGGUCAGGCAGCACCUGUGGAAAAAGAAAAAAGUGAGUGAAAAUGCACACUUUUUUUUUAUCAGAAGUAGGGAGUUUUGGUACAAAAUGUAAAGGCAGGUCAUCUGAAUUUGUUGAAUUUCAUGCUGAGUUCCGGUUAAUGCCUGCAAGAAAAUAAAUUUCAAUGUAGUAUAUGGUAAUAUGUAUAUGUAUGUAAAGGGAUUUCUUUUUUAUAUUACUGUGUGUGUUAAUCAAAAUUGCUUCUUUGUUAAGUUAAAAGUAAGAAUGCUUCUUUGUUAGGUUAACUGGAGAGAGAGUGCUUUCGCUUGUAGCUUGUUUGGGUUAUAAUUAAUGAUAAUGAGAAUUUUAUUCAUUCUUUAACCAAUUGGGAUAGAUGUUAUUCUUUCUUGUGGGUCUGUAAGCUAGUGGCGGACUUUUGGGAGGGUUGUAAGGGGAGAUCCUGAGGAAGGCAGAUGGUGCUGGAUAUGCUCUGGUGGACCACUGAAGUUGGUCCCGAGUGGCCGGUUGUGGAGGUCAGAGAAGGUCGAAUAGUGGACCAAAGACUUUGAUGGUUGAGCGCCAACAAUUGUGCACGUGUUGACUGAUAAGUUCUGGCACCUUUUCUUGCCUUUCUUUUCUUUCAUAUAUAUCGUAUUGCUAUUAAUCACUUAGUUCUAGUAAGAUUUAUGAAGUGUAUUCUGUAAACACACAUGGCGUGCAGUUUGAUAUUGUGUGUGCGAGUUUGUACCACUGCGCAUUUCACAGCAUCCAUGUAUACGGGAGAUACGGUUUGGUAGGUGGAUGGAUUUUCCCCUAAACGUACACCAGCCAAUCGUGUGAGCGUUACACGUACAUAGAACAUAUAACAGUACAGCCUAGGAACAGGUCUUUUGGCCCACAAUAUUGUGCCAAACCAAAUAAAUUAGUAAUCAAAUGACUAAUUAAUAUAGUGUCUUAUGACUACACAAUGCCCAUAUCCCUCCAUUUUCCUCACAUUCAUGCACCUAUCAAAAUGUCUCUUAAAAGUCCCUAUCACUAUCACUACCCUAGGCUUUGCUGGCCUGUGGUGUAGUGGCAUCUGCACUGGAUUUCGAGGAGAGCGGUCCCAUGUUCGAAUCCGCUGGCUCCUAGCAUGCUUUCCAUCCAUGCUGGGUUGAGCUUAGAGCAAGCAACUCAGCUUCGUAAAAAAACAGACAAAUGCAAAAGAGAUGGAAAUGUUGCCACCCAAUGUGGCACAAGGCAAGGAGAGGAACAACAGGAAAUACCCAAGGCAGUGCAUUCCAUGACCCACUACAAAACCUGUCCCUCACACCUCCAUUAAAAUUACCCCCUCUCACCUUAAGUGCAUGCCAUCUAGUAUGAGACAUUUCAACCUUAGGAAUGUCACUUUGAUAGUUAAUUGUCUUUGACUUUAAGGUAAGACACUGUCCAUUGAACACCUUCUGAUUCAGUGCAUCUUCUCUUGCUUUUAGCAUUUAUUCUGGCCAUGUCAGAUGCUCCAGUAAUGUCCCAUUGCCAUGUCAUAAUGUUUUCCUCCCGGACUAUAGUAAAGAAUGGAGCUAUGAUUGGCAAACCUUCCUGACCAUGGGAAGGAAGCCAUGGCUAGCAUACUGGAAACCAUGAACAAGAGAUAAUCUGCAGAUGCUGGAAAAUAUGAAUAACACACACAAAAUGCUGGAGGAACUCAGCAGGCCAGGCAGCAGCUAUGGAAAAAAAUACAGUGGAAGGGUUUUGGCCUGAAAUGUCAACUGUACAUUUUUCCAUAGACACUAUCUGGCCUGCUGAGUUCCUUCAGUAUUUUGUGUGUGUUGCUAGCAUACUGUGUAAUUCAACUCAAAUCAAUGAAAUAAACCAAUGAUCUAUUGAAGCAAUGAGAAUGGUGUUAACAAUUCAAAUAAUUCACUAAUAUUCUUCAGCAAACAUUCUGUUUUAUUUAACUUGUCACCUUAGGAAUUGCAAUGUUUUAUAUAUAUAUAUAUAUAUAUAUAACUAGUCAAAUAAUCUACUAGAAAUAUUAAACAUAAAAUAUUAUCUUCAGGAAGUGUUAAUAAAUCUGAUCACUUGGAACAUCCUGCUGGUAUUUCUUCUAGAGUUUAUUUUCAGUGAGCAAAUUAACAUUAAGUAAAAUGCUCCAAGGUUAUUAGGCAAAUCUAUGACAUUAGUGUUAGUGGAUUGUUUUCAUUUUAAAAGAUUGUUAUCUGUUGAUUUCUCCAUGGAUGCUGCCUGACUUGCUGAGUAAUUCUUCAUAAUUUCUCGUUUGGCUCCUCCCACUUCCUCCAAACCAAAGGCGUAGCCACGGGUACCCGUAUGGGUCCCAGCUAUGCCUGCCUUUUUGUUGGCUUUGUGGAGCAGUCCAAAUUCCAAGCCUAUACGGGUAUUCUUUCCCCACUUUUCCUUCGCUACAUCGACGACUGCAUUGGCGCUGCCUCCUGCACGCAUGCUGAGCUCGUUGACUUCAUUAACUUUGCCUCCAACUUUCACCCUGUCCUCAAAUUUACCUGGGUCCAUUUCCAACACCUCCCUCCCCUUUUUUGAUCUUUAUGUCUCUCUCUCUGGAGAUGGUUUAUCUACUGAUAUCUACUAUAAGCCUACGGACUCUCACAGCAACCUGGGCUAUUUCUCUUCCCACCCGACUGUUGCAAAAAUGCUAUCCCCUUCUCACAAUUCGUCUGUCCCUGCCGCAUCUGCUCUCAGGAUGAAGCUUUUCAUUCCAGGACAAAGGAGAUGUCUUACUUUUUUAAACAAAGGGGCUUGCCUUCCUCCACCAUCAACUCUGCUCUCAAACGCACCUCUCCCAUUUCACGCACAUCUGCUCUCACCCCAUCCUUCUGCCACCUCACUAAGGAUAGGGUUCCCCUUGUCCUCACCUACCACCCCACCACUCUGUGUCCAACAUAUAAUUCUCUGUAACUUCCACCACCUCCAACAGGAUCCCACUACCAAGCACAUCUUUCCUCCCCCCCCCCCUUCUGCUUUCUGCAUGGAUUGCUCCCUAUCCGACUCCCUUGUCCAUUUGUCCCCCCCUUCCCUUCCCAGCACUUAUCCUUAUAAGCAGAGCAAGUCAGCUGCCCUUACACUUCCUCCCUCACCACCACUCAAGAUCCCGGGUGGUCCUUCCAGGUGAGGCGACACUUCACCUGUGAGUCAGCUGGUGUGGUAUACUGCGUCCGGUGCUCCCGGUGUGGCCUUUUAUAUAUUGAUGAGACCCGGCGCAGACUGGGAGACCGUUUUGCUGAACACCUGCGCUCUGUCCACCAGAGAAAGCAGGAUCUCCCAGUGCUACACAUUUUAAUUCCACAUCCCAUUCCCAUUCUGAUAUGUCUAUCCAUGGUCUCCUCUACUGUCAAGAUGAAGCCAAACUCAGGUUGGAGGAACAACACCUUAUAUACCGGCUGGGUAGCCUCCAACCUGAUGGCAUGAAUAUGGAUUUCUCCAACUUCCGUUAAUGCCCCUUCCCCUUCUUACCCCAUCCUUUAUUUAUUUAUAUAUUUAUUUGUUUGUUUAUUUAUUAAUUAUUCCCCUCCCCCUUUCUUCUCCCUCUUUUGUCUCUCUCUGCCCCUCUCACAAUCACUUCUUGCCUGCUCUCCAUCUCCCUCUGGUGCUCUCCUCCCCCUUUCUUUCUCCCUAGGCCUCCUGUCCCAUGAUCGUCUCCCUUCUCCAGCUCUGUAUCCUUUUUGCUAAUCACCUUUCCAGCUUUUGGCUUCAUCCUUCCCCUCCCACUUUCAAAUCUCUUACUAUCUCUUCUUUCAGUUAGUCCUGAUGAAGGGUCUCGGCCUGAAACAUCGACAGUGCUUCUCCCUAUAGAUGCUGACUGGCCCAUAGCAUUCCACCAGCAUUUUGUGUAUGUUGCUUAAAAUUCCAGCUUCUGCAGUUUUCCUCGUGUUUACUUACAAUUUUUUUUGUUUUUGUUUCAGAUCUCUGACAUCUGGUGUUUUUUCUUGCUUUUCGUUUCCCACAAGUAGCUCUGUUAUCCAUGGCUGAGUGCGUGAAUCAGUGGCACGGAAACCAGAAACUGUUGGAGCCCGUGGCUUAAUCAGUUCAAUCAAGUGAUUUAGCGCUCUGCUAUUCACAAGGAAAUUCCAGGAGAGGACCACAAGCACGGGCUGUCUUGAGUAAAAGAUCAGAGAUGAGAUGUGAGGCCUAGAUCAAUUCCAUUACUCACUGAUCAAUGCAAUGAGGAAGACUGAAACAUGGAGACGAAAAGGGAGGAGUCCGCGUCAGUCCAGAGGCUGUGCUUUGGCAGUCAUGCCCCACGGAAGGGGGGUUGAUGUCUUUUCUUUCACAGCUUCCAUGUUUUUUCUGUAUUUUAUGGCUACCUGCAGAAGAGAAAUCUCAGAGCUGUAUUCUGUAUAUACUUUGAUAAUAAAAUGAACCUUUGAACCUUCAAUUAUCAUCAAUGAGGAGGUACCAGAGCCUGAAGAUGCAUACAGAAUGAUUGAGGAACAGCUUUCUGCCAUCAGAUUUCUGAAUGGUUCAUGAACACUCACUAUUUUUCUCUGCUUUUGAUCAGUUUCUUUAUGUUUUAGAUAUCAUUAUAACUGAUAGGAAUUUUGAUUUCAUUCUGUGGACAUCAAUAUGCAGUGGCUUUUUGAUGAGUGGUGAACUUUUUUGCCCUCUGGAAGUAGUGUCUGAUAUCUGAUGCAACAUGUCAGCUCUGUUUUGUAUCAGAGUGGCUCACUGUGAAGGAAUGCCUGCAGCCAUCUCUCAUUACUCUCUCUGACAUCAAUUAAUGCAAACUAAGUACUUCUUUUUGAGCAUAUGUCUUAAACUAGUUACAUGUAGAGUUUUGACAUAAUGUUCUAACAGAUUUCUGAACGCCCCAUGAACCUGUGAACACUACCUUUUUGCUCCUCUUUGGCUCUAUUUAUUUAGUUUGUAAAUUGCAGAGAUUUUUAUUUCUUUGUACUGCUUCAAAGCAACAGAUUUCACAUCAUAUAUUAGUGAAGAUUUACCUGAUUCUGAUUCAGGUUCAUAUAACCUGGUCCUUACAAGUCUUGGCUAAAGCAUCAAAGUCCAUGAAGUUGAAUAGAAUAUAAAGGACUCAUAAAAUGAGGAUUAUUGUUUCUGUCAACACCUGCAAGAAUAUUAAAUAUUAAAUAGAGACAAAGGAGGCUGCAAAUGCUGGAAUCUGGAUCAAUAAACAGUCUGUUAGUGGAACUGACCUGACCUAAAGCAGAGGUUGAUAGGUUCUUGAUUAGUCAGGGUGCCGUAAGUUAUGGAGAGAAGGUAGAAGGAUGGUGUUGAAAGGGAAAUAAAUCAGCCAUGUUGGAAUGGCAGAGCAGACUCGAUGGACAGAAUGGCCUAAUUUUGCUCCUAUGUCUUGUGGUCUGAUGGACGUAGGGUUUUGACCUGAAAUGCCAACAACUCCACAGAUGCUGCUUGACCCAUUGAGCUUCGUCCAGUAGAUUAUCUGUUGCUUAAGACAAUCAACUGUCUUCAGUGUUAACUUAUAAAUUACCAGUAGCCUCACUCACAUUUAGCAUGGCUGACAAAUUCAUAUGUUUCUCCAUUAAACACUAUUCUCUAAAAAGCAACGUUUGAACUCUUGAUUCUCCAAUCCAUCUAUCUCAUCAUGGCCCCUGCAGGUUAUUUGUUUACCUGGACUGCACUUUCUCUGCACCUCCAACACUAUAUUCUACAUCACACACUUAAAGCUGGAGGAACAAUCAAAUUCACUGGCACUAUUAUUCAGAAUCUGCAGUGCUGAGGGAUUGUGAAACUGUUAAACUGUGACGUGAGGGGAGUACGACAGCGCAGUGCCAUUGAUCAAUAGUGGUCGUAGAGCAAUACAGCACAGAUACAGGCCCUUCAGCUCAAUGAGUCUGUGCCGAACUUAGUACAGUCGGCCCUCCUUAUCCACAGUGGAUUGGUUCUGGGACACCCCGCGGAUACCAAAAUUGGCGGAUGUCAAGUCCCUUAUUUAACAUGUAUCAGUGUGGUGCUCUUUAGGACCCAGCGGAACCCCGGACUUUAUUUAAAAUGUCUCUGUGUGAAGGACAUUAGGACCUGGUGGUGUAGCUCUGAAUCCGCAGUGUUUCUGUUCACAAAAAUAAUCACCAUCGCAAUCGAAAAUAAGGUAGAAGUAAUAAAGUGAUCAGAAAGAGGUGAAACGCCAUCUGUCAUUGGAAAAGCAUUACGCUACAGUUGGUCAAUGAUCGGAACAAUUUUAAUGGAGCAUGUGAAAGGCCCUGCCCCGAUGAAAGCUACAAUUAUUACUAAGCAACACAGUGGUUAAAUUAUUGAAAUACGUAUGUUUCUUAAGUGUUUUAUAUGCAUAUGUACUAUAUACUAAGAAAAAUGUUUGGCUAACUGAUGAUAAAUAAUACCGGAUGUACCUGUUUCGACUUCAAAUCCGACUUAAAGACGGACUCAGGAAUGGAACUUACUCAUAACCCCGGGACUGCCUGUACUUUUAAGUCAUU
Hypanus sabinus (Atlantic stingray) is the source of this 11522-nucleotide long non-coding RNA. RefSeq lists it as uncharacterized. NCBI's taxonomy places the organism in Eukaryota, Metazoa, Chordata, Chondrichthyes, Myliobatiformes, Dasyatidae. The transcript is spliced from 6 exons. The record is from RefSeq and is a predicted model, not a curated record.